CGCCUAUAGGGCCUUGCCCUACUCACAACACCCAUACCCACCGUGUGUGGGUUAUGGUAUUUCGAAUCCAAUACUAAUUUUUGGCAUUCUAAAUAAUUUUUAACCUGAAUAUUAAUAUUAUUUUUGCUUCUACGAUCGACCAUGUUUGGUCCCGAUCUAUUGAAUUAAUUAAAAGUAACCUACAGUCCAUUAAUCUGAUAAUAAAUCCAAAGUUAUUGACCUGAAGAUCACUUUUAGACAUUAACGAUUCAAUAUUUUAUUUCUUUUCUUUGAACCGUUGACUCAUUUUCGUAGUCCUAAAGCGAUCACACUUGAGUUCCUAAAGAAACUCAAAUCCACUACACUUUCUUUAUUAUUGCAUUCUAUGUUCUUACAGGAACUUCUCUUUUAUGAACUAAAUGUUCAUAAACUAAAUUGAACCUGUAGUUUCAAAUUUAUUGCCUUUGAAAACCCAAAGAUUUCAUAAAACAAUACACCCAUGAAAACCCAACGUUUUUCAUGAAAACCAUGUCUUAGAACUCAAAUGUUCUAACUUUGAUGCUUAUGGAUGAUUCAUUCCCAUAGCACCAAUCACAAUCUUAUUCCUCAAAAUCAAUGGAUUGUCAAACCGUCACAAGUUCGAUUUCCCUUAUUUGGAUGUUUCUAAUAGAAGCCAUUUUAUAUGUGGAUGCAAGACGUGAGUCUCCACUUAACUAUCAAGAAGCUGAGAAACCAUUGAAGCUAACAAUGGCAAGGAGCUGAAUAAGCCUCCACCAUGAUCUUCAUUCGAAGACUUAUACCUGAAGCAUUACAAAUGGAAAUCCCUCCCUAACGAGGAUUCCAUGGCUAUUUGGCUCGCUCCUAUGGACUAGCUAAUAAUGAAAAACAUUGCCUGAAGCACACCAUGAUUACUUCUAUGAAUGAGUAAAAUUCUGAAGUUUAUAAAUCCGAUCGAAUUUUGACUGGAGAAUACCUUUCUCAUCCUUCCAUGUUUCUAACUCGCUCCUGAAGCAGCAGUGUAAAAAGCACAAGUUUACCAAAUUCUCGGAUCUGAUUACUACCACCAACAUAUGGUAGAAUCAGGGCCUACCAAGGUGUGGUAACAUGUCCAAAGCAUGAUCAUUGGCACCUAAGACCUAAAACUUCAAGAAUAAGGGAUAAUAUUCUCGAACCUCAACCCUGCAGAAUCUACUUCCGCCUCGAUGGAAUAAAUCAUUGGUUAUGCACCUGUUCGUGCCUCUACCAAUGUCGUUGAGAGGUACCAUUCUAGUAGUCAAUAUGUGAGAUUAAUUUUGCUCCACCGAACAUGAAUGACCUUGUUGGCUGAAUCCAGCCUAGUAACUUUGGAUUACUUUGAACAUUUUUUCAUGUUCUUGGAUUCAAGUUUGGUGUAUGUUUUACUUAUGGAUAAUCUUAUUGAUAUUGUGCUCGAAUAUGAGUUAAUUGAAUCAUAUUUCUUAAUACAUGUGACCAAUUCAAUUAAACAUGUGAUUAGGUAGGAAUGUGGG
Molecule: long non-coding RNA, 1487 nt
Filed under: Malus domestica (apple)
Lineage: Eukaryota; Viridiplantae; Streptophyta; Magnoliopsida; Rosales; Rosaceae
Description: long non-coding RNA (MDOM_LNC009084)
Source: RNAcentral